AUACUUACCUGGACGGGGUCAAUGGGCGAUCAACAAGGCCCAUGGCCUAGGUUGGUGACCUCCAUUGCACUUUGGAGGGGUGCCUGCCUAAGGUCGGCCCAAGUGGUUGAGCCUACGUCAUAAUUUGUGGUAGUGGGGGCCUGCGUUCGCGCGGUCCCUAC
This 161-nucleotide small nuclear RNA is filed under the name Nicotiana sylvestris (wood tobacco). Its description in RNAcentral is "U1 spliceosomal RNA". It matches the Rfam family "U1 spliceosomal RNA". From Rfam's summary of the family: U1 is a small nuclear RNA (snRNA) component of the spliceosome (involved in pre-mRNA splicing). Its 5' end forms complementary base pairs with the 5' splice junction, thus defining the 5' donor site of an intron. The record is from Rfam by way of RNAcentral. Lineage: Eukaryota; Viridiplantae; Streptophyta; Magnoliopsida; Solanales; Solanaceae.